UGGGGAAUAUUGGGCAAUGGGCGAAAGCCUGACCCAGCAACGCCGCGUGAGGGAAGAAGGUUUUCGGAUUGUAAACCUCUGUCCUUGGUGACGAAGGAAGUGACGGUAGCCAAGGAGGAAGCCCCGGCUAACUACGUGCCAGCAGCCGCGGUAAUACGUAGGGGGCGAGCGUUGUCCGGAAUGACUGGGCGUAAAGGGCGCGUAGGCGGCUUUUUAAGUUAGGAGUGAAAGUCCUGCUUUCAAGGUGGGAAUUGCUUUGGAUACUGAUGGGCUGGAGUGCAGGAGAGGAAAGCGGAAUUACCGGUGUAGCGGUGAAAUGCGUAGAGAUCGGUAGGAACACCAGUGGCGAAGGCGGCUUUCUGGACUGAAACUGACGCUGAGGCGCGAAAGCGUGGGGAGCAAACAGGAUUAGAUACCCUGGUAGU
This 425-nucleotide ribosomal RNA is filed under the name uncultured bacterium. RNAcentral describes it as "bacterial SSU rRNA". It matches the Rfam family "Bacterial small subunit ribosomal RNA", at positions 355 to 794 of the family's 1533-position model. The record is from RNAcentral.